This is a non-coding RNA of Erinaceus europaeus (western European hedgehog), 107 nucleotides long. The record is from Rfam. Lineage: Eukaryota; Metazoa; Chordata; Mammalia; Eulipotyphla; Erinaceidae.
GUGCUUGGUUUGGAAAUACAUAUACUAAAAUUGGAAUGAUACAGAGGAGACUAGCCUUGGCCUUGUGCAAAAAUGACAAGCAAAUUUGUGAAGAGUUUCAUAUUAAG